This 231-nucleotide ribosomal RNA is filed under the name uncultured bacterium. RNAcentral's name for it is "partial 16S ribosomal RNA". It matches the Rfam family "Bacterial small subunit ribosomal RNA", at positions 118 to 347 of the family's 1533-position model. The record is from RNAcentral.
UGAGCAAUCUGCCCUUCUCAUCGGAAUAAGCGUUGCAAACGACGUCUAAUGCCGAAUACGACCUCCUUUCGCAUGAUCGGAGGUGGAAAGCUCCGGCGGAGAAGGAUGAGCUCGCGGCCUAUCAGCUAGUUGGUGUGGGUAAUGGCCCACCAAGGCGACGACGGGUAGCCGGCCUGAGAGGGUGACCGGCCACACUGGGACUGAGACACGGCCCAGACCUCCGUAGGGAGG